GGACGCCGUCAGUCUCACCGUCCGCCCGGCUCCGGGCGCAGCCGGUGCGCUGUUCCCAGGCCCCGCGGCGCGCGGGAGCUGCGCGUCCAGGAGGGGCCCGGACGCCCUUCUUGGGGAGGGGGCUGCGGGGCGCAUCAUGAGCGGCGCUGGGCGAGCUCGAGGGCCGGGCAGCCUACCUGGACCCCGGCUUCUAGAGAGCCGUCGCCGUCCUUGUCGAGACUCGCUUUCGCCCCUCUGAGGAAUAAGUUAAAAACCGCGAGUCUGGUUCUGAGCCGCCCCCUGGCGCAGGCGCGACCCCACCCGGCCCUCCCGUCUCCCAACUUGGGACAGACGCGGCGGCCGGGCGGUCGGAUCCGUGAGCCUCGGCCGCUGGGGCUACAUACACAGCCCAGGACGCCACAGAAUCGCCGAGGCCCCGCGAACGCCCAAACGGCCGCAAGUCGAAGUGAUCCCAUCUGAAGAAGACAGCGCGAGGAAGCGAGACCCUGCUGUGUGCCGGCCCCCGGAGGGCGCCCCGGGCCCUGUGGGUCGGAGGGUGGGGAAGCACAGAGAAACACGCAGGCAGUAAAACGUUAGGAGGACAGGGGGUGCCAGCGUGCAGGAAAUGCUGCUAAGAGACCUUUAGGAGCCAAGGGGAAAACGGAGAGAUUGGCAGUUCCAGGCACCCACAUCCCAGCGCGGUCCGCUCACCCCUUCCUCCCUGCCCUCCAGGCAGCGCUCAGCCCACGGUAGAAAUGUCUUGCAUCUUUUUUCCGACGAGGAAGAAUUGAACUUUUUAUACCCAACUUUUCUGCUUUCUUAGAAAUGUUGACUCACCUGUGAGGAAGCAUUAUUUGAAACUAUUAUUGUAAAUUGCUUGACAUUUGAAUUAGAUGCUGAAAGAUUAAAGGGUCUCAGAAGAAUCUUUUAAGCUAGACUGGAAUUGACUCUGCCUAAAUGGACAGCAACAGUCAUCUAUACGCAGGAAUAAUAAAGCAGGUGGAGGCAGCCUCUAACUUACCUUCCAGCCACACCGUAGAAUUUCCUGAGCAGGCUUUUUUGUCAGAGUUUUGAGCUGGGUUCCCUGAGACUGGAUUGGGGCUUUCAGUUUCUCCCCUUCUAGAGUCAGACUUCUUCCUGAAGAAAAAGUGUUAUCUCUACUUCCCUAUCACAAACACUUCCUAGAACACAGCCCUGUUAAAAGGUCCUGAGUGAGCCCCUUUGCUGUGCAGAACAAUGGUGAUACAUACAGGCGAGAGCAAAACCCACGAGGUGUCCACCUCACGGCCGACCACAAGAGAUCCUCAAGAGACACAUCUCAGGAAUGAUUCUGAACCUUCUUCACCAAAUAAAAUAUUCCAGAAAUAGUAUUAGAUUUAAUGUGUGUGUCCCUCCUUGCUGGUCUUCCUAGCAGCAGCCUUCUUGUUUCUUGCCUUUUUAGGCAAACAGCCUGAAACUUAGCACAGACGGUGGAAUUGCAGCACCUAUGAAGAUAUCACUGCAUCCUUUUUGCCUCAGGACAUCUUACUGAAAAUCAUUCUAUGUUAAAGCUAUACAUUUUGCUGAAAUUUUGAAGACAAACAUCAAUGGUGAAUUAUAAACUUGUAUUUGCCUAAAGGCUAGUGUGAACUUAUCACUUUCGCCUUCCCCCAGGCCAAGAUUUUCCCUCCCCUUGUUGCCCAAGCCUCACUUUCUAU
Molecule: long non-coding RNA, 1676 nt
Filed under: Homo sapiens (human)
Lineage: Eukaryota; Metazoa; Chordata; Mammalia; Primates; Hominidae
Description: HSALNT0023902
Source: RNAcentral